CGGGGUAUGGCGUAGUUUGGUAGCGCGCUCGGCUGGGGGCCGAGAGGUCGCAGGUUCAAAUCCUGUUACCCCGA
This 74-nucleotide transfer RNA is filed under the name Clostridium sp. RNAcentral describes it as "tRNA-Pro". It matches the Rfam family "tRNA". From Rfam's summary of the family: Transfer RNA (tRNA) molecules are approximately 80 nucleotides in length. RNAcentral also lists the same sequence under 9 other names. The record is from RNAcentral. Lineage: Bacteria; Bacillati; Bacillota; Clostridia; Eubacteriales; Clostridiaceae.